UAGUGUAUUGGACUACCAUGGCUUUAACGGGUAACGGGGAAUUAGGGUUCGAUUCCGGAGAGGGGGCCUGAGAAAUGGCUACCACUUCUAUGGAAGGCAGCAGGCGGGUAGAUUACCCAAUCCUGAUCCAGGGAGGUAGUGACAAGAAAUAACAACUCGGGUCUCUCUGAGAUUGCGAGAUUGCAAUGAGAACAAUUUAAACCACUUAUCCAGUAACAAUUGGAGGGCAAGUCUGGUGCCAGCAGCCGCGGUAAUUCCAGCUCCAAUAGCGUAUAUUAAAGUUGUUGCAGUUAAAAAGCUGGUAGUUGAAUUUCUGGCUAGCUGUAUGCUGUGGCUCUGCCCGGUAUAUGGUUUAGUCAUCCGUAAGGGAAGCCAGUUCGGCCUUCACUGGUCGGCUGGGGGAACUUACAAUUUACUGUGAGAAAAUUAGAGUGUUUAAGGCAGGCAAUCGCUUGGAUACUCCAGCACGGAAUAAUGGAAUAGGACUUUAGUCGAUUUGUUGGUUUGAGACUAAAGUAAUGAUUAAUAGGGACAGUUGGGGGCAGUCGUAUUUAAUUGUCAGAGGUGAAAUUCUUGGAUUUAUUAAAGACGAACUUAUGCGAAAGCAUUUGCCAAGGAGGUUUUCAUUAAUCAUCAACGAAAGUUAGGGGAUCAAAGACGAUC
RNAcentral lists this ribosomal RNA (663 nucleotides) under uncultured ciliate. RNAcentral describes it as "SSU rRNA". It matches the Rfam family "Eukaryotic small subunit ribosomal RNA", at positions 329 to 1009 of the family's 1831-position model. The record is from RNAcentral. Lineage: Eukaryota; Ciliophora.